AGUGAACGCUGGCGGUAGGCCUAAUACAUGCAAGUCGAACGGCAGCACAGUAAGAGCUUGCUCUUACGGGUGGCGAGUGGCGGACGGGUGAGGAAUACAUCGGAAUCUACUUUUUCGUGGGGGAUAACGUAGGGAAACUUACGCUAAUACCGCAUACGACCUACGGGUGAAAGCAGGGGAUCUUCGGACCUUGCGCGAUUGAAUGAGCCGAUGUCGGAUUAGCUAGUUGGCGGGGUAAAGGCCCACCAAGGCGACGAUCCGUAGCUGGUCUGAGAGGAUGAUCAGCCACACUGGAACUGAGACACGGUCCAGACUCCUACGGGAGGCAGCAGUGGGGAAUAUUGGACAAUGGGCGCAAGCCUGAUCAAGCCAUACCGCGUGGGUGAAGAAGGCCUUCGGGUUGUAAAGCCCUUUUGUUGGGAAAGAAAAGCAGCAGGUUAAUACCCCGCUGUUCUGACGGUACCCAAAGAAUAAGCACCGGCUAACUUCGUG
Molecule: ribosomal RNA, 492 nt
Filed under: uncultured bacterium
Lineage: Bacteria
Description: partial 16S ribosomal RNA
Rfam family: Bacterial small subunit ribosomal RNA
Source: RNAcentral